Molecule: ribosomal RNA, 468 nt
Filed under: uncultured bacterium
Lineage: Bacteria
Description: partial 16S ribosomal RNA
Rfam family: Bacterial small subunit ribosomal RNA
Source: RNAcentral
GACGAACGCUGGCGGCGUGCUUAACACAUGCAAGUCGAACGGAAAGGCCCUGCUUUUGUGGGGUGCUCGAGUGGCGAACGGGUGAGUAACACGUGAGUAACCUGCCCUUGACUUUGGGAUAACUUCAGGAAACUGGGGCUAAUACCGGAUAGGAGCUCCUGCUGCAUGGUGGGGGUUGGAAAGUUUCGGCGGUUGGGGAUGGACUCGCGGCUUAUCAGCUUGUUUGUGGGGUAGGGGCUUACCAAGGCUUUGACGGGUAGCCGGCCUGAGAGGGUGACCGGCCACAUUGGGCCUGAGAUACGGCCCAGACUCCUACGGGAGGCAGCAGUGGGGAAUAUUGCACAAUGGGCGGAAGCCUGAUGCAGCAACGCCGCGUGCGGGAUGACGGCCUUCGGGUUGUAAACCGCUUUCGCCUGUGACGAAGCGUGAGUGACGGUAAUGGGUAAAGAAGCACCGGCUAACUACGUG